UAAUACCAACCCCCCGAGUGGUAAGGACGAUUAUUUGGCUUAAAGCGUUCGUAGCCGGCUUGGAUAGUCUUCCGUUAAAUCCAGCGACUAAUCGUUGGGCUGCGGAAGAUACUUUCAAGCUAGGAGGCGGAAGAGGUCGGCGGUAUUCCUAGGGGAGGGGUGAAAUCCUAUAAUCCUAGGAGGACCACCAGUGGCGAAGGCGGCCGACCAGUACGCGCUCGACGGUGAGGGACGAAAGCUGGGGGAGCGAACCGGAUUAGAUACCCGGGUAGUCCCAGCCGUAAACUAUGCAGGCUAGGUGUUGAGGUGGCUACGUGCCACUUCAGUGCCGCAGGGAAACCGUUAAGCCUGCCGCCUGGGGAGUAC
This 366-nucleotide ribosomal RNA is filed under the name uncultured archaeon. RNAcentral describes it as "bacterial SSU rRNA". It matches the Rfam family "Archaeal small subunit ribosomal RNA", at positions 471 to 838 of the family's 1478-position model. The record is from RNAcentral.